UGGUCUCUUCCAGCUCUAUGAUUCUAUGAUUCUAUGAUUCUAUGAAUAACGGAAUCAUAGAACUGUAGAGUUGGACGGGACCC
Molecule: microRNA precursor, 83 nt
Filed under: Podarcis lilfordi (Lilford's wall lizard)
Lineage: Eukaryota; Metazoa; Chordata; Lepidosauria; Squamata; Lacertidae
Source: RNAcentral